CGGCGAACAAAGAAAAUGCAUUAAAAUAGUUUAAAAACGCGACCGUCUUUUCGCAAAAUUGCCACCAUUCAGAAAAUGAGAGUUAUCUAGCUAUUUUUUAAUCACCAUUCAACGGCGACUGAGCCACGAUUGCGCUUAUAAUCGUCGGUUUUCGCGUCGCGCUGUGCUGGAGAUGGAGAGAGAGAGAGGGCAGCAUGGCUGCGGUUCCACGGGCAUGAGAUCAAGCCGAGCUUCAGCACAGCGCUGCUCAACUAAAACCCUUCUGCUUAACGUACCACCAUCGACAAAAACACCGCGAUCCGCCAUAGGCCUACAAACAGGAAUCCCAUUCUAAAACAUUUGUGGCUAUCAUGCUUGGAGAAGCUUUCCUUCAUGUUCUGAACUGCACAGAAGACACCACAGAUCAUGAUAGACACGCUCGCACACACUCACCCACCCCCACGACCCGUCCCAACCCCUGCACGACAAACGCCGCUGCCAGAUCACCUCUGACACCACGAACUGUGAGAGUUGGCAGGCCUGAAGGCCUGGGAAAGCCAGGGCAGUGUCGAGCCUCUGCACCCAGCAAUGCUAUGCCCAUUCUCAGCUGUAGCGGGGAGGAUCACUUGGGCAUGACUCUGUAUUGCUCCUGGUGCUGUCCCAGCUUCUGCAAGGACUAUCCGGACCUCCGGCUUGCAGGUGAUCGGUUGGAGCACUGCAGUCCUCAUAACCCAGACCUGCUCAACCCACCGGAUGACGGGCCACUGCUGCAAUCUCAGGACCUGAGCUCUCUGGAACCCUCUCUGGAACCAGGUCAACAGGUAGAGGCUGCGACCCAGCAGGAUGUGGAAUAUCUUGUCAUGGAGAGCGUUCAGGGUCUUGGCUGGGAGAGAAGGCUCACUAACUCCAUGUUGAACGGCUAUCUGGAAGUCCAAAUGCUGGAGGUGUUUUGUCAGCACAUGCAAAACAUGGCAUGCUACGGAUCAUCACUGCUGGGCACUGAUGUCAUGCCGGCACUGGUGCCCACCAGCCUGACUGUAGCCAAAGAACAGACAGCCAGUCAUGUAGAAGAGCUGGAUUCUUCAUCCAAAAACGUUGUGCAAUAUUUAAGCACUUAUUCAGCUCCAGCAACCUCCCAUUUCAGCUCACCUGUGCUGCGUAUCUCAGAAGCUGAGUAACCAACCAACAUUUUUUUCUGUUGGGCUCCUGUCUUUUGACCAACACACAAAUAUUUAAAGUUAUCUGUGUUGUUAGAAUGUUUUGUAUGCAAUACUGAUAGCAUUUGUGGCAUGUUGAUUACUAUAAUAAAAAAUAAAAAAACAUUUGUAAAGCAAAAAUAAAAAUUUCAGUAAAUAAUUCCAAUGAAGUACAAAAGGCAAGG
Sinocyclocheilus anshuiensis is the source of this 1360-nucleotide long non-coding RNA. NCBI's taxonomy places the organism in Eukaryota, Metazoa, Chordata, Actinopteri, Cypriniformes, Cyprinidae. The record is from Ensembl.